AUUGAACGCUGGCGGCAGGCCUAACACAUGCAAGUCGAACGCGUGGGGCACGGGUGUGUUAUGUCUGGGAAACUGUCUUAUGGAGGGGGAUAAACUCGGAAAACGGGAUAAUAUAGCGUAUCCUCACAGAUGUGCCCAGAUGGGUUUAGCUAGUUGGUGGGGUAACGGCUCACCAAGGCGACGAUCCCUAGCUGGUCUGAGAGGAUGACCAGCCACACUGGAACUGAGACACGGUCCAGACUCCUACGGGAGGCAGCAGUGGGGAAUAUUGCACAAUGGGCGCAAGCCUGAUGCAGCCAUGCCGCGUGUGUGAAGAAGGCCUUCGGGUUGUAAAGUACUUUCAGCGGGGAGGCGUUACCCGCAGAAGAAGCACCGGCUAACUCCGUGCCAGCAGCCGCGGUAAUAC
Molecule: ribosomal RNA, 406 nt
Filed under: uncultured bacterium
Lineage: Bacteria
Description: partial 16S ribosomal RNA
Rfam family: Bacterial small subunit ribosomal RNA
Source: RNAcentral